UACGUAGGAUCCAAGCGUUAUCCGGAGUGACUGGGCGUAAAGAGUUGCGUAGGUGGUUUAAUAAGCGAAUAGUGAAAUCUGGUGGCUCAACCAUUCAGACUAUUAUUCGAACUGUUGAACUCGAGAGCGGAAGAGGUAGCUGGAAUUUCUAGUGUAGGAGUGAAAUCCGUAGAUAUUAGGAGGAACACCGAUGGCGUAGGCAGGCUACUGGGCCGUUUCUGACACUGAGGCACGAAAGCGUGGGGAGCGA
This 250-nucleotide ribosomal RNA is filed under the name uncultured prokaryote. RNAcentral's name for it is "partial 16S ribosomal RNA". It matches the Rfam family "Bacterial small subunit ribosomal RNA", at positions 524 to 771 of the family's 1533-position model. The record is from RNAcentral.